This 269-nucleotide ribosomal RNA is filed under the name uncultured prokaryote. RNAcentral describes it as "partial 16S ribosomal RNA". It matches the Rfam family "Bacterial small subunit ribosomal RNA", at positions 524 to 792 of the family's 1533-position model. The record is from RNAcentral.
UACGGAGGAUCCGAGCGUUAUCCGGAUUUAUCGGGUUUAAAGGGUGCUCAGGCGGGCCAUUAAGUCGGCGGUGAAAUUUUGCGGCUCAACCGUAAAAGUGCCUUCGAUACUGGUGGUCUUGAGUGUGGAUGAGGUAGGCGGAAUUUGUGGUGUAGCGGUGAAAUGCAUAGAUAUCACGAGGAACUCCGAUUGCGCAGGCAGCUUACUAAACUACUACUGACGCUCAGGCACGAAGGCGUGGGGAUCAAACAGGAUUAGAUACCCUGGUA